GGAGGGAGUCUAUGGCGAUGAUGAGGGUGGUCUGGGUGGACGACGAGGAAGGUGAUGACGUAAAGGGGGUAGUCGUUUGAACGUGAGGAAGGUGAUGACGUAAAGAGGGUAGUCGUUUGGACGUGAGGAAGGUGAUGGCGCAGCAGCGAUGGCUAUUUUGGUGGAGCUGGAGCUCGCUGGCUGGGGGAUAGGGUGGUUGACGGACUGUUUGGUUGACGACGUUGCUGCUGGUUCGUGAGGGAUGGUGGGUUGUUGAUGGUGGUCGUGAGACGGAGAGGAAACUGGGGCGACGGUGGUUGCUGGAGGUGGAAGGGUCGUGGUGGGUUUUUUCUUCUUCUCCAAAAAUGGAGAAGAAGACCAACAGUACUGGUCUCUUUCUUUCUUUUUUCAAAAAAUGUCUAA
RNAcentral lists this long non-coding RNA (402 nucleotides) under Nicotiana tabacum (common tobacco). Its description in RNAcentral is "long non-coding RNA (NTAB_LNC001178)". Lineage: Eukaryota; Viridiplantae; Streptophyta; Magnoliopsida; Solanales; Solanaceae. The record is from RNAcentral.